Molecule: long non-coding RNA, 1954 nt
Organism: Thunnus maccoyii (southern bluefin tuna)
Lineage: Eukaryota; Metazoa; Chordata; Actinopteri; Scombriformes; Scombridae
Exons: 3
Source: RefSeq, a predicted model, not a curated record
CCGACCAGAACAACUACCCCACAACAUCAGUUCCAUCUGGCUACACUUCUGCCACAGAAGGGUUUUUUAGGCCCAGUCCUAAUGUCCCCACUAAACCCUAAGCCCUGAACCCGGACUUAACUGACGUCACCUGUGAGUGGCAGGCAUGGCUCCUCCUUCCUCUGGCUUCUCCCUGAUUACUCCUGAUUCACAGCACCUGCUCUAAUCAGCACACCUGUCAUCCGUCAUCUCAUCAGCCAGACACAUCGACAGCCACUCUUCACCAGAUUGUUCAGUCAGCUACAUCGCAUCAUCAUGACCUGAUUACCUCUGCCUGCCCCCCGAUCAGCCUGCUGCUCACACCACUCACUGUGCUAACUCCUUCUGAUCCACCUCAGUAUACUCCUGUUGGAUCAACUCUGGACCCCCACCAUCGCCAUGCCAUUCCCCCACCUGCUCACCUGCUUCAUCCACUUCCCUUUUUUUCAUAUACUAUACUAACCGUCUCCUGUUCUGCAUUUGAGUCCACUCACACCACAGAUCAUAACAACUGACUCACUAUAAGAAAUCUACAUCUGGCUUCUCAUUAGAUCUGUGAUCUCAAUUUCAACAGAUGUGGUCUAUCUACACCUUAUUUUUGGUUGUGCUUCAUUAUGUAACCUCAGCAAUUAGUUAAAAAUUAAAAGAUUAAAAGAAAAAGCAUGUUGCUGUCAUGUGAUAUGUUGGCAGCUAAUGUCUUCAACCAUAUGAGCAAUCAUCCUCAGUGGUUUCAUUCAGAGUUGAGUGCAUGUUCCACAUGCCACACUUCUCUCAUCACAAGAUCUCUAAAUAUAGAAUGUGACAUAUUCAGCCCACAACUGUUUGAUUGCCCCACAUAUCUCCGGGGGCAGAUGUUUGAGAUGCCAGUCCUCACCCUGGGUUUUUAGUAUGUGCGCUCAUCCUUCUAAUCUAGCUCCGCGUCUUUAUGUGUCUCUGCUCAAUGAAGGUUGUUCUCUGACCACACCCUAUAAAACUUGCAAUCAUAUUUUAAAUAUUUUAUUUCAUUUUGUAAGCCUGUAUUUUUUUAUUUUUGUUUAUAUUAUAUUAUAAUUGGUCAAUAGUUUUUUUUUAUGUUCUCAGCAAAGUUUCUAGUACAUUUGGGCAAUCAUCUUGCUAGAGUAGUGAGCCUUCGAGCCAUCAUCACUUUACUGGGUAGAGUUUAAGUGUCCUUUGGUCAGUUUUAAGGGAUUUUAAGCUACACAAAGAAUAUUAUUUGAGGAAAACACUAAAGUUCUAAAAUAGUAAUUGGAGAGAAUAAUGUUAAAAUGUGGGAUACUGACAACAUGACAAUAUUGAUCCCUUUAGUCUGGAAAUGUUUUUUAUAGUGCUUAAAAUGAAUAAUAGUCAACCAUUAUUUUUUGCUGAAUCUGAUGCCUCAGAUAUAAUCUGUACAUAUAAUUAAUAAAAAAAUAUAUAUAUAACAGCGAAGCAAUCCUGACAAGGUUAGCAACAAGUGGUAACCGUCCAAGGUGCAGAACAACUUUGGUAAACAUUUUCAAUAAGCGGCUUGCGAUGGAACACCUUACCACCAGAAUUAAAAACACAAAAUUAGAACUUAAAGUUUUCACUACACAAGUGAAACAAUGGCUUAAGCAACAACAAAGGUGUGAACUCUGGCUAAGUUAUGUUUGGAUUUACUUGUUAAAUCUAGAGUUACAUACUGUAUACAUACUUACACUCAUACAUACACAAUAUUACACCUAUAUGUAUACACAUGCAUAUACACAUAUACACUGGCUGUUUUAGCUGUCCUAUUGUUUUUAUCCUGAUUCUGAUUCUAUUAUCAAUUCAUUUGUUUGAUUGUUUGAUAGUUUUAAAAGCCUAACCAGGGACAGGGGCUGCAAAUUAGCUUCAAUUACAUCUGUUGCAUUGCUUAUCUGUAUGUACCAAUGUUCAUCUGUAUGGUCACUGUUAAAUAAACAAAUAACAUGUCUCA